UCUUCAUUUCCCACACUCUCUCGCCUCUCUGACCGGUGAGAGAGUGUGGGAAAUGAAGACA
This 61-nucleotide microRNA precursor is filed under the name Pristionchus pacificus. RNAcentral's name for it is "mir-8364 microRNA precursor family". It matches the Rfam family "mir-8364 microRNA precursor family". The record is from Rfam by way of RNAcentral. Lineage: Eukaryota; Metazoa; Nematoda; Chromadorea; Rhabditida; Neodiplogasteridae.